RNAcentral lists this ribosomal RNA (253 nucleotides) under uncultured bacterium. RNAcentral's name for it is "partial 16S ribosomal RNA". It matches the Rfam family "Bacterial small subunit ribosomal RNA", at positions 524 to 776 of the family's 1533-position model. The record is from RNAcentral.
UACGAAGGGGGCUAGCGUUGCUCGGAAUCACUGGGCGUAAAGCGCACGUAGGCGGAUUGCUAAGUCAGGGGUGAAAUCCCGGAGCUCAACUCCAGAACUGCCUUUGAUACUGGCGAUCUUGAGUCCGGGAGAGGUGAGUGGAACUGCGAGUGUAGAGGUGAAAUUCGUAGAUAUUCGCAAGAACACCAGUGGCGAAGGCGGCUCACUGGCCCGGUACUGACGCUGAGGUGCGAAAGCGUGGGGAGCAAACAGG